Molecule: long non-coding RNA, 1535 nt
Organism: Carassius gibelio (silver crucian carp)
Lineage: Eukaryota; Metazoa; Chordata; Actinopteri; Cypriniformes; Cyprinidae
Exons: 3
Source: RefSeq, a predicted model, not a curated record
ACACUGAAGGCAUCAAGGGCUAUUUCACCAAGAAGGAGAGUGAUGGGGUGCUGCGCCAGAUGACCUGGCCCCCACAGUCACCGGACCUGAACCCAAUCGAGAUGGUUUAGGGGUGAGCUGGACCACAGACAGAAGGCAAAAGGACCAACAAGUGCUAAGCAUCUCUCGGGGAACUCCUUCAAGACUGUUGGAAGACCAUUUCAGAUUUGAGGGAAAGAUUAAAAACAAGGAGGUCUGGGAAUGACUGAAGGGAACUGACAGCAGUUAGGGAAGGAAGUUAUCACCAGAAUCUCAGAGGAUGUUGACAGUGCAGGUCCAGGAUGAAGAAGAGGAGGAACAACACGUUUAACAAUUUUCUCAUAAGCUUGCCAUGUGUUAUAAUAAAAACAAUGAACAUGGCUACAAUAAUAUGCUAAAUGUUAUUAAAAGAUUCCAGUUUGCAAGAAGUCUGAGUGUCUGACUCUACACUAGAGGAACUCUUUUCUGAAGAAGAUCAGGUGCUGAGAAGAAGCCUUGUUCUACAGCACAACACUGCAAGCCUCCUGUCCUUCCCUCAGAAGAGCCUGUCUUCUGCUGCUGGGGUAAGAAACACCCUCUUCCUCUUCUCUAUCAGCUGUCCAGCACCUAACCCUGCCUCCUCAGCACUGUCUGAAAGGGUCUUCUCCACAGUCAGUAAUCACAGAUCACAGAUUCUUCUGAGAAAGUCGAUAUGCUCAUUUUCUUAAAAGAAUUUGUUUUUUCGGGUGGGACAAAUAAUACAGGAGAGAUGCUAGAAAUCUCUAUAUUGUUCAUUUUUCAUAUCUUUACGCUUUAUGAAUGUUUUUCUUCUGAGAAGCUCAAAAAUUAUGGUUCUUUGGUAAUUGUUAUAUUGUUUAGGUUUAUCCUCUGAUAGUGAGCACAGAGCCCUGAUCAUGACAUGCAAGAAAAAGAAAGAAAUCAUGUCCAUGAUUUACUAAUUCGUUCCCUCUAUGUACUAAACGUGCACGAUUACUUUUACAUUUCAUUGAUUUGCUAAAUCGUAUGCACAAUUUACUAAUUCGUUCUCUUGAUGUAUAAAUAGUGUACACGUUUUAGCAAAUCGAGGGAAUGAAAUAGAAAAUCGUGCGCAUGAAUUAGCCUAAAUUUUUUCCUGCAUGUCGUGUAAUUAAAGCACAUCACCAUCAGACAUUUAUACCAGGAGCCUCAUAUAUGACGCUCACAGUUUUACUUUGUGCAGUAUCUCGGUGCAGUAUCUGCUGAAUUGUUUCAUAUCUAUUUAUCAUGUAUUUUUUUGUUGCACUAAAUUAUGUUGUAUCAAUAAGUUUACUGAUAAUUAUUUUUAAUUUUCACUAAUAACGUCAUUAACCAUCUCCCCAUCUUUAAGACAAACAUUUUCUAUUGUUUAUAUUGUGUAAUCUAUGAAUUGAUGUGUUUAGUUUUCUGUGCUCAUAACUUAGUAACAUUUUGCAUGUUUAAAGAACAGGUGCGAUGUUCAAAAUGUUUUGGCUUCGUAUUUGUACAAAGUAGUGCUGAAUAAAUAUUGAUUUGUGAAUGAA